RNAcentral lists this long non-coding RNA (445 nucleotides) under Androctonus crassicauda. The record is from RNAcentral. Lineage: Eukaryota; Metazoa; Arthropoda; Arachnida; Scorpiones; Buthidae.
AAAUACCAUAUAUUACAAUCAAGAUUAAUAUAGGAUAAGAGCAACUGUGUUAUCAUUUAUAUAACACUGGGGGUUUAUAUGCCUUUCUUGAGCAAUACAUAGGUAGCACAAGGAGAAAUUUAAAGACAAGGCUUGCAGAACAUCGAACGGAUAUUGUGAAAGUAAGAGGGAAUACGGCCAUAGCAAGGAAGACCUAUGAACAAGAUCUCACUGUAAUGUGGAAAGAUGCUAAAAUUAUCAAACAAGUCUGUGAUGGUGGUGGUCACAACAUUGUGGAGACGAUUGAGAUUGGACGACAGAAAACCCAGCUAUCAAUUAUCAAUGAUAACCAACCUAUUGACCUGGCACAUGCUUGGACACGGAUCAGUUCAUUUGCCCGACACUCAUUUUCUUGACAACUCAUUUCCCCGUCACUUACCCGACAACUCUUUUGCCCAACACCCUC